CAGAUCUGAAGCACUCAGUGUGACAGAUCCUCCUGUAGCAAGUCAAAGGGCUCAGCCAUAGCUGGCUUGGACUGCCGCCUCGCUAGGGCUGUCGGUCACCCUUACACGGCUCUUCUUACGAGGCAGGGGAAGCAAAGCAUUUGUGUUUUUCUCCUGAAGCAGAAAAUGAAUGGAAAAGCAGCUUCCCUCAGCUAGCCAUGGCUUGACGAAAGCCCCUCCUGGAGCUAUCCUCUGUCUGGUGUUUGAAGCAGAGGACAUAGUCAGAUCUCCUGGAUUCUAGUCCAGUCUCUGGCUUUUGACUUGCUGGGACUUGAGCAAGCUGUUCCAACCUCUCUACCUCCAUUUUCCCAGCUGUAAAAUGGGGAUAACAUUCCCAUCUCACCCAGGGAGUGGAAAGUAGAUUCAUGAGGCCUCCCCAAGCUCCUGCCUGGUGAUCUCAUUGCUGGCCUCUCCCAGUCAUUCCCCUUCCUCGCAGGCUGCUGGAGAACCAGCUGCAGGAGCAGCAGGAGCACCACGAGCAGGAGUUGGAAGGACUCCGCAUGGACGUUCGCUCCCUGAAGCAGCUGAACAAGCAGCAGCAGAGCCUCAUCCAGGAGCUGCAGCGGCGCUGGGAGGAAGAGGGGCUCCAGCACCAGAUAGUCCAGCUGAAGAGAGAGAACCUGGAUCUGUCGGAGCAGCUGGAGAAGAAGGAGGGCGGCAUGCUCAGGCUCCGGAAGCAGCUGAAAAGCUCCAUGAAGCAAAUCCAGGAUCUGACAGGCACACACCUCCUCUGAACGAACCAGUGGGGUGGGGGGCACCCCUUUUGGACCUGCCACAAGGGUUCUGCCUAAAUGAGGCCUGCUGUGCUGCCAGUGUGUCCGAGGCGACCAGCUGUGUGCAGGGAGCUCUGCCUUAGGAGCACAGUUCCCCAUCCAUCCUUCCAGGCAGUGGGCCUCUGCCGUGGGGUGUCACUACCCAUCUGCUUUGCAGCCAGGGAACAGAAAUAGCUGUCUUGCUAACAGCUUACCUAAUGCAGCCGUUUUUCUUAGCCUCUAUUCUGGGCUUGCCUGAUGUCUCUCUUCUAAGAGGAAAGCUCCCACGCAGCCGGCUCUCCCUCUCCAUGCUUUAGGAGGGAGCUGUGCCCCAUGGAACCGCGUGUUGCGCCUAUCUGACCCUCUGCCUGACUGCAGGCCCCAUGGGAGUGUUAGGAAAGCCUGGGGAAUUGCAGCAUGGGUGACUGUUCUGAUUCAGUGGCACCCUGGCUACUGGGGGUGGGAGGUGCGGGGUUUCAGAACAGCAAGCCCCCCAUUAGAUCUGUCCCUUUGCAGCACUUGUUACCCCAGGGGCUGAAAGAGCAGGGUGUUUCAGAGAGCUGGGUGUGCUCUUGGCUGUGGUUUUACAGGGAGGGGAGAUGCUGGCCGGGUUUGUAGAAACCUGACUAAAGCUGGUGUGGGCGCCCCAGGAUGUAGGACAGCGAGAAUUGAUUUGCAGACUAGCCUUUCACUUGCUUGCCUCUUACUUAGCCAGCAGCAGCUUUGCAGGACUGCCUGGGGUGUCCUGCAGCUGCUUUCCUUCAUGGGGGUCUGGUUCAGUCUGUCUUACUCUUCCUAUCCUCUUGGGGUCCACUUCCACCCCUCCAGCUGGCCUGAGCAACAUCUAACUGUGUCCCUCUGUCUGGGAGCCAGCUUUCCUGGCAGGUGUUCUGCAGGAAGCGGGUGAGAAGGUUUGGAGCCAGGUUACACGGCCCUGGGCCCAAGUGGAUGCUUUGACUCUAGUGUUCUUCCUCCUUCCCCU
This is a long non-coding RNA of Pelusios castaneus (West African mud turtle), 1773 nucleotides long. NCBI's taxonomy places the organism in Eukaryota, Metazoa, Chordata, Testudines, Pelomedusidae. The record is from Ensembl.